Magallana angulata is the source of this 711-nucleotide long non-coding RNA. RefSeq lists it as uncharacterized. The transcript is spliced from 2 exons. NCBI's taxonomy places the organism in Eukaryota, Metazoa, Mollusca, Bivalvia, Ostreida, Ostreidae. The record is from RefSeq and is a predicted model, not a curated record.
CAACAAGUUAAUAAUGACAUUUUACUUUUUGUCAGAAGGUAGAUAUUUAUGAUGGGUGUUAUACAAUAGGUAAAACAGCAUUUCCAAGAUGAGUUGUUUCCAGGACGACAGUAAAGUGUGGUAUCGUGUGCUACUGAUUAAAGACCACAACAUGUGUUUAUUUGGUUAACCAUUGCAUACCGUUUAUUGGAUUCCUACGGGAGUUGUCGAACUUGAAAAGAAGAAACUGCUCAUUCGUGCAAGGAAAUGUCGUGUAGCUGGCUAUUGGAUUCACCUCAAUGGACAAUAGCACAAAAAUAUCACCUACAAUCCAACCUUCAUGUGGCUAAUUGAUUUUCAUGCCAGACAUAUUGUAUCAAUAAAUGAAAAAGAAAUACUAUAUUGCUCAUGGGAAGGAGCGGAAGUGGUCGAGAAACAUUCAAGUGCGUGGAAAACAUUGUCAACUAAACGAGUGUCAAAACUGUUAAACUUCCUUUUUAUUAAACUUACAGCCAACUUAAAAAAAUUGAAACCUUUUAUUAGAUAUUUGAAAGUAAAAGAAUGACAAAAUUACCAAUAGACUGGUACUUAUAUGACAUAUCAUAUAUUUCCAGAAAAAGCAUCCAGAAAUAUGAAAUCGGAUGCUAACAACUAAUGUUUUCAGUUUAUCUUUGGCCAUUUUGUAAAUUUUGAAUAAACUUGAUGUGUGUAAAUAUAUAAAUUACAAUAUGA